This 483-nucleotide ribosomal RNA is filed under the name Filifactor villosus. Its description in RNAcentral is "bacterial SSU rRNA". It matches the Rfam family "Bacterial small subunit ribosomal RNA", at positions 9 to 495 of the family's 1533-position model. The record is from RNAcentral. Lineage: Bacteria; Bacillati; Bacillota; Clostridia; Peptostreptococcales; Filifactoraceae.
GAGUUUGAUUAUGGCUCAGGAUGAACGCGGCGGCGUGCUUAACACAUGCAAGUCGAACGGGCGAAUUAUAUCGGAGGUCUUCGGGCCGAAGAGAUAAUAAGCUAGUGGCGGACGGGUGCGUAACGUGUGGGUAAUCUGCCUUUGUCAUAGGAAUAACUGCUUGAAAAAGUAGCUAAUACCAAAUAACAUAUCGUAUAGGCAUCUAUAAGAUAUCAAAGAGAAAUCGGACAAAGAUGAGCCCGCAUCUGAUUAGCUGGUUGGUAGGGUAAAAGCCUACCAAGGCGACGAUCAGUAGCCGGCCUGAGAGGGUGAACGGCCACAUUGGAACUGAGACACGGUCCAAACUCCUACGGGAGGCAGCAGUGGGGAAUAUUGCACAAUGGGGGGAACCCUGAUGCAGCAACGCCGCGUGAGUGAAGAAGGCUUUCGAGUCGUAAAACUCUGUUGUAAGGGAAGAUAAUGACGUACCUAAAAGAAGCCCCG